GUCAUGUUUGGAGCCCCAGUGGCACAACGCAUCUGGCUGUUAACCAGAAGGUUGGUGGUUCGAGCCCAGCUAGGGACG
This is a non-coding RNA of Podarcis lilfordi (Lilford's wall lizard), 78 nucleotides long. Lineage: Eukaryota; Metazoa; Chordata; Lepidosauria; Squamata; Lacertidae. The record is from the annotation of a GenBank genome assembly.